Molecule: ribosomal RNA, 404 nt
Filed under: uncultured bacterium
Lineage: Bacteria
Description: bacterial SSU rRNA
Rfam family: Bacterial small subunit ribosomal RNA
Source: RNAcentral
AGUGAACGCUGGCGGCAGGCCUAACACAUGCAAGUCGAGCGGCAGCGCGUCCGACCACCCUCGGGUGGUCGGAUGGCGGCGAGCGGCGGACGGGUGAGGAAUGCAUCGGAAUCUGCCUCGUUGUGGGGGAUAACGUAGGGAAACUUACGCUAAUACCGCAUACGACCUACGGGUGAAAGUGGGGGACCUUCGGGCCGUCACGCGAUGAGAUGAGCCGAUGCCGGAUUAGCUAGUUGGCGGGGUAAAGGCCCACCAAGGCGACGAUCCGUAGCUGGUCUGAGAGGAUGAUCAGCCACACUGGAACUGAGACACGGUCCAGACUCCGUACGGGAGGCAGCAGUGGGGAAUAUUGGACAAUGGGGGCAACCCUGAUCCAGCCAUGCCGCGUGUGUGAAGAAGGCCUU